This is a transfer RNA of Ovis aries (sheep), 72 nucleotides long. It matches the Rfam family "tRNA". Rfam says of the family: Transfer RNA (tRNA) molecules are approximately 80 nucleotides in length. Their secondary structure includes four short double-helical elements and three loops (D, anti-codon, and T loops). NCBI's taxonomy places the organism in Eukaryota, Metazoa, Chordata, Mammalia, Artiodactyla, Bovidae. The record is from Rfam.
UCCCUGGUGGCUCAGAUGGUAAAGCGUCUGCCUACAACGCGGGAGGCCCGGGUUCGAUUCCUGGGUCGGGAA